GUCAGGCAAAGAGGUAUGCAUCUGUAAUCCCAGCUACUAAGGAGGCUAAGGCAGGAGAAUUGCUUGAGCCCAGGAGUUCAAUUCCAGCCUGGGUAACAUAGCAAGAUCCCAU
Molecule: small RNA, 112 nt
Filed under: Marmota monax (woodchuck)
Lineage: Eukaryota; Metazoa; Chordata; Mammalia; Rodentia; Sciuridae
Source: RNAcentral